Long non-coding RNA from Erpetoichthys calabaricus (reedfish), 1280 nucleotides. RefSeq lists it as uncharacterized. Lineage: Eukaryota; Metazoa; Chordata; Cladistia; Polypteriformes; Polypteridae. The transcript has 2 exons. The record is from RefSeq and is a predicted model, not a curated record.
AUCAUCUUUCACAAAAUAUAUUCAAUUGUAGGCGAAUCCACGAAAUACGUAUAUAAGAAUAAAUUUUGGGUACAUCCCAACACAUUAUGGCAUAACCCAUCUUAAAUUAGAAAAAGAUGUCUAAAAUAAAAAAUGGAUUACUACUAGAACAACUCCUCACACUUACGUGAUAUUUUCGAAAAGAAGGAGGAAGUGAGGGCGGGACUUGAAUUUAAAGGAGAAUGUCUCGCGCGAUUACAAUAACCCGGAUAUUACUCUAUUUUAGAUAGCGCGUUAAUAUACGCUAGCAUAGUAAAGCCGCUGCCUAUUUAUUUUUUGCUUCGGAUGUGUUAGGUAAGCAGAAACGUAAAUCUCCGAUGUGUAACUAAUUUGAGAACAUGAAACUUGCAGGAUAUUUGCUUUUAAGCGGUGUGUUUUCUGUAUUGCGUUAGAAUUGGUAUACACUGAGAUUAUCGGUUUAUCUUCCACUAAAACGGCACAGCCUGAAAAUUGCCGCGGGCAUUGCCAUUGUCUACGGUAAGAUAUCUGUGCCUAUAUUACUAUGGCGCGUCUCUCAUUGCCCGUGUGCCCAUCAUGUGGCGAUGAAACCUAUGCGCCUACAAGCGUAUAAUUUAUAGUCUGUAUUGGCAGAAUCUAGAGGUGUCCGAGGAGCGGGACCGACCACGAGGUCGCGUAAAUGUGAUUAAGUCAUUCCUUGUAUAGUUAAGUCUCGGUCGACCAGUUGGUGUGUUGUACUUUUAACUACAAGUCACGGAUAAUUUAUGCAACAGCUAGUGAAACGUGGAACAGAAUGUUUGGGAUUUAAAUCGGGCCGAUCUGAAGUUUGCGUUGAACCUACACCGUCCUACGCAACGCUGGGCGGUGUUUGACACGCAUGAAAAGCGACGGUUCCAUUUCCCAAAGUCUGUAGGCAAGAAAUAAUGGCGACCAAAACCGAGCGAGUCUUACUGGAGCUUCAACUAAUAAACUACGAACAGCAAAUUAUCUGCCUUGAACUACAACGACGGAAAAGGUUGCGUUCCCGGAGACGAUGGUAUGAGGACGGGAAGCGUAUGACAAACGGGCUCGUGGUCAUCCCGGGCGCAAUGGGACAUAAAGGCGGUGUGGAGCACAAUGGAGGCCAUAAUUUGAAGGAUCUUGAUUAAACUAUGAGCUAUAGAAUCUUCAACUGGUACUGCUGACUAGAUAUGUGAUCUAAAUGAGAACAUUUUUUUUUUUUGGGUUAAUCGUUUUUAUAUCUACUUCUCCCUCUCCAGUAAAUAAAGCUAAUUUCACUUGAA